Molecule: ribosomal RNA, 490 nt
Filed under: uncultured bacterium
Lineage: Bacteria
Description: partial 16S ribosomal RNA
Rfam family: Bacterial small subunit ribosomal RNA
Source: RNAcentral
GAUGAACGCUAGCUACAGGCUUAACACAUGCAAGUCGAGGGGCAGCAUGGUCUUAGCUUGCUAAGGCCGAUGGCGACCGGCGCACGGGUGAGUAACACGUAUCCAACCUGCCGUCUACUCUUGGACAGCCUUCUGAAAGGAAGAUUAAUACAAGAUGGCAUCAUGAGUCCGCAUGUUCACAUGAUUAAAGGUAUUCCGGUAGACGAUGGGGAUGCGUUCCAUUAGAUAGUAGGCGGGGUAACGGCCCACCUAGUCUUCGAUGGAUAGGGGUUCUGAGAGGAAGGUCCCCCACAUUGGAACUGAGACACGGUCCAAACUCCUACUGGAGGCAGCAGUGAGGAAUAUUGGUCAAUGGGCGAGAGCCUGAACCAGCCAAGUAGCGUGAAGGAUGACUGCCCUAUGGGUUGUAAUCUUCUUUUAUAAAGGAAUAAAGUCGGGUAUGGAUACCCGUUUGCAUGUACUUUAUGAAUAAGGAUCGGCUAACUCCGUG